This 459-nucleotide ribosomal RNA is filed under the name uncultured bacterium. RNAcentral's name for it is "partial 16S ribosomal RNA". It matches the Rfam family "Bacterial small subunit ribosomal RNA", at positions 338 to 795 of the family's 1533-position model. The record is from RNAcentral.
CCUACGGGAGGCAGCAGUGAGGAAUAUUGGUCAAUGGGCGGGAGCCUGAACCAGCCAAGCCGCGUGAGGGAAGAAGGUACAGCGUAUCGUAAACCUCUUUUGUCAGGGAACAAAGGCGGGGACUAGUCCCCGGAUGAGGGUACCUGACGAAAAAGCAUAGGCAAACUCGGUGCCAGCAGCGGCGGUAAUACGGAGGAUGCGAGCGUUAUCCGGAUUUAUGGGGUUAAAGGGGUGCGCAGGCGGCCUGUUAAGUCAGGGGUAAAAGCCCGGGGCUCAACCCCGGCGAGCCGUUGAAACUGGCGGGCUGGAGUGGGAGAGAAGUACGCGGAAUGCGCGGUGUAGCGGUGAAAUGCUUAGAUAUCGCGCAGAACCCCGAUUGCGAAGGCAGCGUACCGGCUCCACACUGACGCUGAGGCACGAAAGCGUGGGUAUCGAACAGGAUUAGAUACCCUUGUAGUC